RNAcentral lists this ribosomal RNA (812 nucleotides) under uncultured bacterium. RNAcentral describes it as "bacterial SSU rRNA". It matches the Rfam family "Bacterial small subunit ribosomal RNA", at positions 1 to 810 of the family's 1533-position model. The record is from RNAcentral.
UUAGAGUUUGCUUCUGGCUCAGGAUGAACGCUAGCGGCAGGCUUAACACAUGCAAGUCGAGGGGCAUCAGGAGUGUAGCAAUACACUUGCUGGCGACCGGCGCACGGGUGCGUAACGCGUAUGCAACCUACCUUAUACAGGGAGAUAACCUUUCGAAAGAGAGACUAAAAUCCCAUAGUAUUGAUGAGGGGCAUCCCUUAUUAAUUAAAUCUUCGGAGGUAUAAGAUGGGCAUGCGUAGCAUUAGUUAGAUGGUGAGGUAACGGCUCACCAUGACAACGAUGCUUAGGGGUUCUGAGAGGAAGGUCCCCCACACUGGUACUGAGACACGGACCAGACUCCUACGGGAGGCAGCAGUGAGGAAUAUUGGUCAAUGGUCGGAAGACUGAACCAGCCAUGCCGCGUGCAGGAAGAAUGUCUUAUGGAUUGUAAACUGCUUUUGUAUGGGAGUAAUAAUAACUUUGCGAAGUUAGAUGCAAGUACCAUACGAAUAAGGAUCGGCUAACUCCGUGCCAGCAGCCGCGGUAAUACGGAGGAUUCGAGCGUUAUCCGGAUUUAUUGGGUUUAAAGGGUGCGUAGGCGGCGAUAUAAGUCAAUGGUGAAAGACUUGAGCUUAACUCAGGCGAGCCGUUGAUACUGUAGAGCCAGAACAUAGAUGGAGCAGGUGGAAUGAAUCAUGUAGCGGUGACAUGCAUAGAUAUGAUUCAGAACACCGAUCGCGAAGGCAGCUUGCUAAGCUAUAGUUGACGCUGAGGCACGAAAGCGUGGGGAUCGAACAGGAUUAGAUACCCUGGUAGUCCACGCUGUAAACGAU